This 397-nucleotide ribosomal RNA is filed under the name uncultured bacterium. Its description in RNAcentral is "partial 16S ribosomal RNA". It matches the Rfam family "Bacterial small subunit ribosomal RNA", at positions 362 to 776 of the family's 1533-position model. The record is from RNAcentral.
UAUUGGACAAUGGGCGAAAGCCUGAUCCAGCCAUGCCGCGUGAGUGAUGAAGGCCCUAGGGUUGUAAAACUCUUUCAACGGUGAAGAUAAUGACGGUAACCGUAGAAGAAGCCCCGGCUAACUUCGUGCCAGCAGCCGCGGUAAUACGAAGGGGGCUAGCGUUGUUCGGAAUUACUCGGCGUAAAACGCAAGUAGGCGGAUACGUAAGUUAGGGGUGAAAUCCCGGGGGUCAACCCCGGAACUGCCUUUAAUACUGGGUAUCUCGAGUUCGAGAGAGGUAAGUGGAAUUCCGGGUGUAGAGGUGGAAUUCGUAGAUAUUCGGGGGAACACCAGUGGCGGAGGCGGCUUACUGGCUCGGUACUGACGCUGGGGUGCGAAAGCGUGGGGAGCAAACAGG